Molecule: long non-coding RNA, 333 nt
Organism: Penaeus monodon (black tiger shrimp)
Lineage: Eukaryota; Metazoa; Arthropoda; Malacostraca; Decapoda; Penaeidae
Exons: 3
Source: RefSeq, a predicted model, not a curated record
AGGUCAAGAGGCAGACGAAGCAGAACAAGAUCAGUUUCUAGAGAGAAGAUAAACAAGAAAGAGGAACAGACUUCUAAAGGAGGAGGCACUGUAUUACGUGAGAAAUUGUUAUCUGGGAAUAAGAGUGUAUUCUUAGAUGACUUAAAAGGCUUAGUCAGAUCUGAAGAGGCAUUCUACAUCAACGUACAAGGAGAAAACUGCCAAUAAGACCUUUACCUCAACACAUUUUCGCAGCUGGCCAGUUAUAAGAUGAAAAUAAGAGGCGUACUUGGAGAUUUAGAGCAAAAUAUAGGGAGGCCAAAUAAGAAAGCUCUCAGAUACUUCAAGAAAAGU